This 253-nucleotide ribosomal RNA is filed under the name uncultured bacterium. RNAcentral's name for it is "partial 16S ribosomal RNA". It matches the Rfam family "Bacterial small subunit ribosomal RNA", at positions 524 to 776 of the family's 1533-position model. The record is from RNAcentral.
UACGUAGGGUGCGAGCGUUGUCCGGAAUUAUUGGGCGUAAAGGGCUCGUAGGCGGUCUGUCGCGUCGGGAGUGAAAACUCAGGGCUUAACCCUGAGCCUGCUUCCGAUACGGGCAGACUAGAGGUAUGCAGGGGAGAACGGAAUUCCUGGUGUAGCGGUGGAAUGCGCAGAUAUCGGGAGGAACACCGGUGGCGAAGGCGGCGACCUGGGUAGAUACUGACGCUGAGGCGCGAAAGCGUGGGGAGCAAACAGG